GCCUUCGUGGUGUAAUGGUCAACACACUGGGUGCUUAUUCGAGAGGUCCAAGGUUCGAGUCCCAGCGAGGACA
Molecule: transfer RNA, 73 nt
Filed under: Stegodyphus mimosarum
Lineage: Eukaryota; Metazoa; Arthropoda; Arachnida; Araneae; Eresidae
Rfam family: tRNA
About the family: Transfer RNA (tRNA) molecules are approximately 80 nucleotides in length. Their secondary structure includes four short double-helical elements and three loops (D, anti-codon, and T loops).
Source: Rfam by way of RNAcentral